GGAAGAUGUAUACCAUAGUUAAAUUUUGUUUAUGAAAAGAGAGAGAUGUAUACCAUAGUUAAAUGUUGUUUAUAAAGAGAGAGAUGUAUACCAUAGUUAAAUGUUGUUUAUGAAGAGACAUGUCUACCAUAGUUAAAUGUUGCUUGUAUAGAGGAGAUAUAGAAAUAUGCUAACAAAGCAAGAAAGAUCAGGAAAGAUCAUGAAUG
Long non-coding RNA from Xenia sp. Carnegie-2017, 206 nucleotides. RefSeq lists it as uncharacterized. The record is from RefSeq and is a predicted model, not a curated record. The transcript is spliced from 2 exons. NCBI's taxonomy places the organism in Eukaryota, Metazoa, Cnidaria, Anthozoa, Malacalcyonacea, Xeniidae.